Molecule: RNA transcript, 1572 nt
Organism: Acinonyx jubatus (cheetah)
Lineage: Eukaryota; Metazoa; Chordata; Mammalia; Carnivora; Felidae
Gene: IFT43
Gene name: intraflagellar transport 43
Exons: 12
Source: RefSeq, a predicted model, not a curated record
GAUCCUGGUCAGGGUCGCAUUUGCACCUACCCUAGGGCUUUUUCCGUGGGACUUCACCUGCCAGAAGUUCAUGUAAAAACCACAGUGUUUUAACGCAUGAAAAGAAGGCAGGCAGGCUGGAGUGGCCUUUUCUUGACCGGAGUUCCCACGAGGAGGUGGGAGUUACUUCAGUUUUAUGAUUUAGGAAAUCAAGACUCGGAUUUCUAACACGGAGGAAUGGCUAGGAGCUGGGGGCCAGAGGUCAAAUGGAGUAUGAAGCUGCUUACUGGUUUAAAAAAAAAAAAAAGGUUAACGUUGUGUGUCAAUUAUAAUAAAAUUAUUUUUUAACUAAAACAAGUGAACCCUCCCGAACCUCGGUUUCCUUAUCUCUAGAAUGGAGACGUUGAUAUCUACUUCAAAGUGCUGCAGUGAAGAUGAAAUGGAAUAACGCAUGGGAAGCAUUUAAUCCAGUGCCUGACAUGAGAUCUCUGUUCCUUCUAGAGGAAAGUCUAGCUGCAUUUCUUUGGGGGCCCAAGAUGGGUCGCCGAGCUCAGCAGGAGUCAGCUCAAGUGGACAAUCAUCUCAGUAACAAGAACUCCUCUUCGAUUCUGACUGGAGAGUUGAGAUGUGCUGGACCAGAAUGCCCACACUUGGGCUCCUGAAUGCAUCCUUUGCAGGCUCCCCCUCCCAAGCCGCCGCGCAGGCAAGGAGGCUGGGCAGAUGAUUCCACGAAGGCUUCAAAGUCAGGAAGGAGGGCUUCUGAAGAAAUAGAAGAUCACCGCCUCAGACAGCAGAGCUUGGAUGGAUCAGAUGACGGAGGAGAUAUUCCUGUUAUUCCGGAUCUGGAAGAAGUACAGGAAGAAGACUUCGCUUUGCAGGUGGCAGCCCCCCCCAGCAUCCAGGUCAACCGGGUGAUGACCUACCGUGACCUGGACAAUGACCUCAUGAAGUACUCAGCCUUUCAGACCUUGGAUGGAGAGAUUGACCUGAAGCUCCUCACCAAAGUCCUGGCGCCAGAGCACGAAGUCCGAGAGGUCAGUAGCAGCAGAAGCUCCUUCCUGUGGGCUGCGUCAUCCCUACGACCAGCCGGCUCCCCAGCGAUGACGUCAGCUGGGACUGGGACCGUCUGUACACCGAGGUGUCCUCAGAGCUCCUCACCGAAUGGGACCUGCUGCAGGCGGAGAAGGAGGACCCCGUGGGACAGCCCACGCACACCUGAGCCCUCGGUGGUCAGCAGACUGCUGUCCCCGCACAGAGUAAUUUCUGCUUCCGACGUGAAAAAACGCGAUAAGCCUACAGUUGAAGAAGCUUGCCGCAGCCUCUUGGAAAGAUUCGUCAAGAGUGGAGGAGGGCAGCUUUUAAACAGUCUGACGGGUUUGCUCCCCGCUGUUGAAGAGCAUGAGGGAAAGCUAGACUCAGGGGGAGAGGAAUGGCACCCCUUCUAGAAAGUGUUCGGUUCACAGAGGCCACAGCAUUUCCCGGGAGCACCUGUCUACUUGGAAGCACCUGGAAGCAGGGCAGUGUCGCCCAGCCCAGCCUCCCUAGAAGAGGGCUCGAGAGGUGUGACAGAACGGACAAGCGUCUACAGGUACC